RNAcentral lists this ribosomal RNA (392 nucleotides) under uncultured bacterium. RNAcentral's name for it is "partial 16S ribosomal RNA". It matches the Rfam family "Bacterial small subunit ribosomal RNA", at positions 523 to 918 of the family's 1533-position model. The record is from RNAcentral.
AUACGGAGGAUCCGAGCGUUAUCCGGAUUUAUUGGGUUUAAAGGGUGCGCAGGCGGCCAUUUAAGUCAGCGGUUAAAUCGUGGGGCUCAACCCCAUUCUGCCGUUGAUACUGGGUGGCUUGAUUGCGGUCGAGGUUGGCGGAAUUCGUUGUGUAGCGGUGAAAUGCAUAGAUAUGACGAAGAACACCGAUUGCGGAGGCAGCAGACCAGACCGCAAAUGACGCUCAUGCACGAAAGUGCGGGGAUCGAACAGGAGUAGAUACCCUGGUAGUCCGCACAGUAAACGAUGAAUACUUGUUUUCGGCGAUAUAAUGUCGGAGGCAAAGCGAAAGCGAUAAGUAUUCCACCUGGGGAGUACGCCGGCAACGGUGAAACUUAAAGGAAUUGACGGGG